RNAcentral lists this unclassified non-coding RNA (366 nucleotides) under Sarcaulus brasiliensis. RNAcentral describes it as "partial contains external transcribed spacer and 18S ribosomal RNA". The record is from RNAcentral. Lineage: Eukaryota; Viridiplantae; Streptophyta; Magnoliopsida; Ericales; Sapotaceae.
CCCUGUGUUGGUUGCCUAACGUGAUGGAAGUUGCCCCUCAGUGAGUCCUAAUUUGUGCCUCUCGCCAAUACGUGGUGUUAGGUUAACGUGGAAGUACUGCCCAUGCUACCUCAUUGCUUCGCCCUUUCGCGUUGCAAUUGUGGCCCACGGGUUGCUACUAGUUCACUUGGAUUGCAGAACUGUUGAAGGGAGCACAGCAUCUUGCUGUUGUUUACCCACAAAGCUUUUAUGUCUCGAUGCGUAUGACGGUUGUGCCCGCCUUGGUCUCAUCUUUAACUAACUAGUUUGGAUGGGGCUCAUGCGGUGUCAGCGUCGCGAAGGAAUGCUACGUGGUUGAUCCUGCCAGUAGUCAUAUGCUUGUCUCAA